This is a long non-coding RNA of Cavia porcellus (domestic guinea pig), 8423 nucleotides long. RefSeq lists it as uncharacterized. The record is from RefSeq and is a predicted model, not a curated record. NCBI's taxonomy places the organism in Eukaryota, Metazoa, Chordata, Mammalia, Rodentia, Caviidae. The transcript is spliced from 4 exons.
CUGCAGAGAAAACAAAUGAAUAACUUCAUUCAUUCAUCACUAACAUCUUGAUGGAGAUACAGAAAUCAGUAAGAGUAGCUGUGCUACUGCAAAACUCAUCCUCCAGUGGAAAAGAGAGGAAAAAAAGACAGUGGUGAGAGCCUCCAUCCGGGGUACAGGUGCUCCCACAGCACCUGCGGGCCCGAGAACCCCUACUGCAUCCACCCAGGGCUGUUUAUGUCCACCAUAGUAGUGGCCAGGAAAGCCUGAUGACACAAUAUGAACCGAAGAGUAGGACGGAAGUUCUAGUUCCAGGAGUGGGUUCUGAGCCACACUGUGGCUGCCAUCUUGAUUGCUCCUUUUUUCCUCUUGGAUCAUUCUUUUAGGGUUGCCAAGUUGUGAGUGGUUCUCUGGAGAAGACCACAGGGCAGGGUGAAGAGCAAAGCUUUCUCAUGGCGCCCCCGAGUUCAUUUGGAAUCAGACUUCUAGCCCUGAAAGACCUUCAGCUAGGACUGCAGUCCUGGCUGACAGCAUGACUACAGCCUCAAGAGGGACUAAAAGGCAUUACCUCCCCUUGUCCUGCUCCCAGCAAGAUUCAAGUUGAACAGGUUCACAGAAUGUUAUGGGCUGAGGAGCAUCAAGCAUGAAGGGCCUGGAAUCUACCUAUGGAAUAUAACCCGUGGUAUCAUUUGGGCAGUCAGCUAGGAGACAACAGACAGCACCACACGUCUGCUACGAGAAGCUACCCAGCCAGAAAGGAAGGGCUUACAGUUGGCAGCAUGCCCUGGAUAAUGAAGAUCUGAGUGGAUACUUGGGAUGUACCAAGUUUGUGAGUGCCCUCAUUUGGCUUGCUUUCCUUUCCUUUCUCUCAGGGGAAACUCUAGUCCCCUUCUUGUUCUGAUGUUUUUGUUUAUCAGAGAAUUCAAACUCUUUGACUUUUUGGUGCUGGCCAGCCUUCUCGAACCCUAACUCUGAGCUGCCAUUUGAAAGGUUUCUUUUUGCAAGCUCCCUUAUGAUUGAUACUGGGGUGACCUAUACCAGUAAUUAGAAGAGAUAUACUCUUCAAGCUCAGGGCAACUAUAUUGUUCGAGCCUCUAGAAACCUGGGUCCUACUUGUUAUGAAUUCAACCAACCAAACCUGAUGGGAUUAGAUUUCUAUGCCUGGAGUGAUUCCGAAGCAUAAUAUGACUGAAGACUAAGUGGAGACCACUUUAGUAGCUAUUCAGCUGAAGGACCUUAAUCUAUACCCUCAUAGAAAACAGAUUUUUCCUUAAGAAAUAAGGAAAUGAGCCAAAGCCCAUCCUGAUAAAUUUCUGGCCAAAAAGUAUUGGGUUGCUGGUGUUAUGACAAUUCCCAUGCAAUACACUCAUUUUAUUGCUAGUCAAACUAUCAGAAGAGUAACACCUUCUGCAAGAUCUCAGAACCAUCAACAAGACACUGGCACCUAUUCUCCUGUUAGUAGCAGAUCCUUACAUACUUUUGGCAAAGAUCCUAGGAAACACUAAAUGGUUCUCUGUCUUUGAUCUCAAGGUUGCUGCCAUGUUUAUUCCUGAGGAUGGUUCCUUCCAAUGGUAUCUUCCAAUACUUGUUUGCCUUCAAAUGGGAAGAUCUCUAAACAAGACUUCACCACCAGUAUACCUGGACUGGCUUGCAUCAGGGUUUUAGAAAUAAUCCUCACUUCCUUGCACAGGCUUCAGCUCAAGCCCUGAGAGAUCUGAAGUUCAAAAGAAGAGGUCUAUUACAAUACAUACAUGUACUUCAUGUGUAACCCCACCAAAGAGUUAUCUGAUAAAAACACUGUCAAGUAUCUCAAUUUUCUAACAAAAAGGGAUUAAAAGAUAUCCUACAAAAAGGAGUUAUAAGGCAUACAUUUCUCAACAUGAAGUGACAUAUCCAGGGUACAUUUAAACACCAGAACAAAGACAACUGUUCUCAAGGGGUACAGAGCCAAUUUGUUAUCAGGGCUCCCUAGAGUCUAAAUAGAAACUUAGAGCUUCCUUCGAAAUGGUGGGCUUCUGCUGCAUUUUAUAGAAAAUAACCAGACACCUAUAUAAGACAACCUGAGGAUCAAAAAUUGAAUCCUUGAAAUGAACUAGAAGACACUCAAAAGGCCUUGAAGAACUUUACAUGGAGUCUCACACAGGACCCAGCAUUAGGAAUAUCUCAACUAACGGAGCCUUUUUCUCUUUUCAUGGCUAAAAAUCAUGGAGUAGUCAUGGCAGUGUAAACUCAGUGUUGAGGCCAGGAAAACUGACCCAAUGCAAUGGAGUAACACAGGGUUGACCCAGGUGUCUGUGAGUAGCCACUAUGCCACUUAGACCAAGAAGCUUCUAAAAUAACUGUAGUUCAAAAGCCCUUAGUUCUAACCCCACACCAGCUUAGAACUCAAGGGACAUUUGUAGAUGACUGGUAAAUUUCUUUCACCAGUCUUCAAACUAUUUAAAUCUAGCUACCUCCACUCCAAUUAACUAACAGGUAUAAUAUGAGUGUAAAAAAAACCUCUGCCUACAAUUGUGCCUCCUUCUCUGAUCCAAUGGACCAGCCAGUGAUAGGGAUGGCUAGCACAUGUGUUAUUUAUGGCAACAGUUUCAAUAAACAUGGAACUAAAAGGCCAGGUUAUGCCAUAGCCCUACCCUGGGGCUACCCAUUGAAACAAGAGGACUUCCUCCCUCCCGAGAUUUCCACCCAAAAGGUAGAAUGUCCUCACUGAGCUCUCCAAUUUGUCCAGGGCAAGAGGGUCAAUAAAUGUUCAGACUUUAAAUAUGCCUUUCUGGUCUUACAUGUGCAUAUGACUAUCUCAGAAGAAGGUAGUCCCUGACAACAACAUGCCCUAAAGGAAAAGGGCCACACACAACCCUUCUAACCACUCCUGCCAUUGAGGUAUGGUAUGGGAAAUAGAGUUGCUCUCCAAGGCAAAACCCAAGCUGCCUGAGACACCAUAAAACAAAGAGACCACAAACCUCACGAACUGUGAACCAGCGGACAGCUACAAGUUCCUUACAAUGAACCUGUUGAGCCAGAUAAAUAAAAUGUUUUGUUCCUGCUAAGUACAUUUUGUAGCUAGUCUUGCCACUAUCUUAUUUGAUACAGAUGAAGUCCUUGCCCCAUGCUAUAAUUUGACUUCUUUUGGUUUUCUCCUGUUUCUUUUGGGAUCCUCCUAGAUGAUUCAAAAGCUAUCUCUAAUAGAGAAAAUGAACAGUGAUUACUUACAUAAAACUUUACUCAAAUCUUUCUUCUAAACAUUAACAAUUACCCAAGAAUUUGACAAACAGCCUAGAUGAAGUUGCCCAGAGUAUUUUGCUAGAUCAAAUAGAUUCACUAACAGAAUUGGUCAUUGAAUGCUGUAGACACUAGAUUUCCUGACCACUGAAACAAAGGGGUUAUGUUUGCCUCUAAAAGAAAAAUGUAGUUCUUAUGUAAAUCAGUCUGAACUAGUGAGAGGUACUGCACAAAAACUGACUGGCUGUGUUUCUAAGACCCUCAGAAGGCUAUCUAAGUCAUGAAUGUCCUGGGCAAAUAUCUAACAUUGGAGAUCUUAAUUACUGUCUUAGACAUGGCCUUUAUUAACGCUUGUUAUAGCCUUACUAUUUAGAUCUUCCAUACUUAAUCUUUUAGUCAAAUUUGCUUCUUGUUUAAAUGUGUUAAACUACUGAUGAUGGCCCAAGCCCAGGAUCAAAACUUGCCUGCACACUUACGGCUCACUAGAGACCCUGACAUCAGACAAGGCAACAGUUCCUUGGUAUCCAGAUAGGGAGGGCAGAGCUCCUACUUGGCAGGAAGUAGCCAUGGAACCCUUCUUCCUUCUGCAGCCCCUAAAGUGUUUUGGGAACCAGCUCUCUCAUGGGAGAAUAGUACAGAUAGCACAACGGGCUAGGAGAUUUCUCCUUUCCAUUCACUUCCAUUUGAUAACACCCCAAAGCCGUUCUGCCUUCCAUCAUUUUUCUAAGAGAAACACCAAAUACCAAAGAACCUAAAAAUCUCUAUAGCUCCAGACCAGAGCGCAAGCAUUUAGAUCAUUCCUACCUUAUUAAAAGUUCAUAAAUAUGAACUACAUCUCAUACAUAUAAUUUAAUCAAAAUUAACUGUGGGGAAGUCCUGUGCACCACGCCCGCCAAUCCCUGCCAGUCUUAAUCAGAAACCCAGUGAGAGGCUACCAGGAUGGGAUGGGGUGCGCAUCUUUGAAAAUCUGAAUGCUUGAUUUACCUGUGUGUAGUGUGUUUUAUUUCCCUAUCAACCCAGCAUCACUUUUCUUUUCAUACCAUGUUUUUGUUGGUAUAGACUUGCCCUGAACGCAUCUCCCCUUGAUCUUUAAUAAACAGAGCUGCUUUUUCUUUUACCACUGAAUGUACACUAUGCAGGUCUUUGCUCAUUGUACACAAGCACCCAGAAUCUGCUUGUUGGGCCCAUCCUAGAGCAGCACAGCAACUUGAAUCAGGAUUGCUGUGGUCACUGGGCCCUGUUCAGGGUAAUGCUGAGUGGCCACCAUGACAUGGUCAGAGCUCCCCGACUGCAAAAUGGUGCCAGAGGAGCUCUUGUCUUUCUGCCAGGGGCCCAGGCUAUGAGUGCAAUAUAUGGACAAAGCAAAGGAGAGAAGGCUUUUCUAGGAAUGAAGCAGAGUGUACAGUUUCAGGGAUUCAGUGUGGGUCAAGGAUGAGUGAAGGGAGGGCUGACAGAUAGGCACAGUGGCCUGGAAUUGUACAGAGAAAAGCCCUACACAGGCAUGGAAAGGGCAUUGUCACCUCACCUAGCCCUGUGCUUCUAUGAUGGCCCUGCCGAGACCAGUGGCGAGCAGGUCUUUGUCUGGAUUCUCCUGUGGCUAUGUGAGUCAAGAUGAGGGAGCCUAGUACUUCCCAUCCCCUAGAGACCUGUCCCUGACCUACCCACUGCCUCUGUGCUGUCCUUAUCCAGUGGCAGCCCUGCUGCUCUCCCUGUGCUCCCAGUUCUUCUGGGCUUUGGCUCCUUGUCAGGAGGGCAAGGAGCUUAUCAUGGGGCACAUCUGAAGCCUGCUCAUCCCAAACAGGAAGGAUGCCUUUCUUUUGGCCUUUGGAAUCUCUCUGGGAACAGCUUCAACUUGAUGCUUCUAAGGAAUUAUUAAUCUAAUUGCAUGUUAGCUUAUAAUAUUAUUUAAACACAGAAAUUGUAGUUUUCAAAACCAGUUUUAAAAUAAUCAUUACCUUUAGUCCAACGAACUCUAAUACAACUAUGUUCAUUUUUCGUUUCCCUUUUCUAGCUUGUAGCCAUCCCCAUAGUUUAACUGAUAUAAUUGCAGUUGAAGCUCACACACCAGUUGGGAAGUGUUCUCUCACUUGCUGUGUCCGUUUUCCCACUUUCCAUGUGUCUACAAACUCUUCCAAACUACCAUUUCAGUGAAUAUGUUAUCUUUAAUAUAGUCCCUUCUCCGUAACUUACUUAAUGGUUUCCACAGUGCUGUACGCAGCGUUUGCUUCCCCAUCUUCUUGCUGAUAUUGCUAAUGUUAAUUAACAUACUCGUGUGCAUAGCUUUUCAUUUUUCUUCCUGGUGAGAUACUGACUCCUAAAGGGAAGAUGUCCUUGGGAAUGUUGAAAUAAACUGCUGGAAGCUCUGAAGCAGUUCUCACAUCUCCAAAAUGUGGCCGCAUGUAGACGGCAGAAUUUCCUCCUGUGAUGCUGAGAUUCAGGGGGCCUGGGGCAUGAUUCCCAUCAGCUCCCCCUUUCAAUGAAAUCAAUGAAAAUUUAGCCAGUUGCAUUUGGGUAAGUCCAUUGUUUUUGUUGCUCUUUUUCCUUUUCUUUUUCUAAAAUAUUAUAGAAGUCUUCAGGCCUAAUAGCUAACAUUUAUGUGGAAUUGCCAAAUCUAGGAAGCAAGACAGAGGGUCCUUCUCUGCCAUGCAUCUGUCCUUCAGAAGCCGGUUUUCCUCUGACAGUGCUGCCCGGAUAACCAUGCAUUCAAUUUCAACACUCGAGCAAAGAGGGAGCUGUUUCUCUGUAAUGCUGGAUAUAUCAAGUCAGAACAUAUCAAGGAUGACACUCCCAAUCAGAAGGGACCAAGAAUAAUUUUGAUCAUUAAAAAUCAUCACUUUUUAACAUUGGCAAGAGUUGCUGAUUUCAGGUAGGCUCUGGUUCAAGGUCUUAAAAUCUACAUUGUUUUAGCCAGAAAAUCACGAAGAAUUGAUUAAUUUUCAUUUUAGAAGAGGUUGUAGUUAUUACUGAUCGCUAAAAGAUUCGAAUGGAAUUAAGGCCACCUUUACAUGGAUGCUUUAGAAGGGGAGGCUAGAAAUAUGAUGUGCUUUACGACAGUCGUGACCAGGAUCAGGCAGCUGAGCAGUGCAGAAUGACAAUGUCUCAGGAAGUGAAAUUUAGGUCAUUUUUAUUCAUCAUGGAUGCAGAAUCACAGAUCUCUGGAAAAAAUGCUAAUAAAACAUCACACUCAGCAUAACGGUCUCCUCUCAUGCAGUGCCAUAAUGAUAAAUGAAAUGAUGUUAGCACAAGGCCAGCUCAGUUCUUACAGUUGGUGGAGCCUAGGGUUGUGACAGAAUUGGAAUACAGAGAAUUGAUUGGUCAUAACUCGGAGAAAAAUUUCCUAAACCUAUGCUGAUGCCUCUGCUCUGGUGGAGAAGUCUGAACUUUGAGAAAGACCUGAGAUAUUCAAAGUACCCACGCCUGCCUAGAUUUGAUGGGCAAAAGGGGGCUUAUAAGUAGAGCAUCUUUAUCCCAACCUGGUAACACCAUCUUUGUGUUAAGCAACCAGCAUGAGCCUGGGCCUCUGCUGGCCCCUGGGAAUAUAGUUAGAAGGCGGGACCCUGGUCCUAGCUCUCAGGAGCUUACAUUCCAGCAAGGAAGAUGCGAUUAUGAGAAAAUUAGAAAAGGCAAGUUAAUGGCAGAGAUAUUUUUCACUAACUAGAAUUGCUGGCAGGGUCAUGAAGUGGCUGAGUUGCUAAAUUUAGCAAGCAAAGAAAAUAUAGGAUGACAGUUAUAUUUGAAUUUCAGAGAAAUCACAUUUCUAGUAUAAGUAUGUCCCCCAAAGUACAUGGGAUAUCCUUGUACUAAAAAUGAUUUGUUAACUGAGCACCUGGUAUUUUAUCUGAUAAUCUACGGGUCAGAGUAGGGACAAGAGGCAGAAUUGUCAGAGAAAACCUCUCUUCUAACAUCUUUCCAUGUUGGCAGUAAAAUACUUUUGAAAUAUCUGUGUAGGAAUAAAAAAGAGAAACUAUUCUAUACAGAACCUGUUUGUGUCAGAUACUAUUCAGUGGCUAUACAGUCUGUCUGUCUAUACAUACAUAAUCUUCUCUAUAGUCUUGUGAAGUAGAUUCUUCUAUUAUACCCAUUUCACAGAUAGGAAAACUGAGGCACAGAGAAGUUGUUACCCAGUAAAUCACCAGUAAGCAAGUAGUAGAGUUUGUGAUAAGAACCCCCCAUGAUGUGUCUACUAGCAGCAGAAAUUCAUUUUACUAAAGUCAAGGAAGCUUUUUGUGACAAGUUGCCAUCCCAGCCAGCUGAGGAAGACAUUGUCCUCUGUCCCUCAUUACACUUUUCCCACCCUCAUUGCAGGUUUCUCUGGUAGUAAGACACUAUCCAGUCUCCGGAAGUCUAAAUCCCAAGGAUGACAAAUGUGUCAUUGCUCUCAGCUAUCCUUCAGGGUUGGAGCCAGUGUCUGCCUCCAACCCAGGGGUGACAGAAUCUAUGAAAGGCAAGAAGAUCUCAGUGACUCUUAGAAUCCACCAGGGGAUUAGCACCUGCAGGCUGGGUGUUUCUAUUUGGAUUGUGGAUUGCGUUUGGUGGCACAAUGAAUUAAGAACUCAUUGCAGCCUUCUUCUGCAAGGUGCUUUAAUUACAGCUUCUUUAAUUCCAAUGAGAGCUCCAACUGAAAACAAUACAGAUUGGCUUGCUCUGCCCCAUAAGUGUUACUUGGAAGACCAAUGACCAAGAAAGGUCCUUGCCUAUUCAGUGAAUCUCUGAAAGGCCACUGUAGUUUGAUUCUUGGAGAGGGACUCUUGAGGGAGGGACCACUAACAGUCUCUGCAGCUUGAUUCCCUAAAGCUGGGUGGCCUGGCCAACCCCGGGGAAAAUGGGGGUGUAGUGGACAUCAGUGCUGCCCUAAGCUUCCUAUCCUUCUAGCUGUGAUGGAUGGACGUGUUUGCAGGGACUUGCUGAGUUGGCCUGAAAAGUAGAUUGUGCAGAUUGCAUAAAUCAUUCCCUGACCUCUUCCACCACUCGAGCUGCACAAAUCCAAUUCAGAGCAUCUAAACUGGCGGGCUUCUGAUGGAGUCUUCCUAGGUUUCACAGAUCCUUUAACAGGUUUCCCUCAUUUGUUUAAUGAGGCUUCUCUCAUCUCUCUGCUGCUAGGCUACCAAUGAUAUUGUGAAACUGGGUCAGUUUUUUGGUGCAGGGGGGAAAUUAUUAAGCAACAUCUGUAAGUUCCCUUUGCCUCUUUUUACAGGAUGAUCUGGGCCAGCCAUGAAUUUUUUGGU